Molecule: regulatory RNA element, 76 nt
Rfam family: 6C RNA
Source: Rfam
GUGAGUUCAGCCCGACCCCCCGGGGCUGAACUCCGACGACCCCCGCCCCCUCCCCCCCUGGCGGGGGUCGUCCCAU